RNAcentral lists this ribosomal RNA (484 nucleotides) under uncultured bacterium. Its description in RNAcentral is "partial 16S ribosomal RNA". It matches the Rfam family "Bacterial small subunit ribosomal RNA", at positions 30 to 507 of the family's 1533-position model. The record is from RNAcentral.
AUUGAACGCUGGCGGCAGGCCUAACACAUGCAAGUCGAGCGGAUGAAGGGAGCUUGCUCCUGGAUUCAGCGGCGGACGGGCGAGUAAUGCCUAGGAAUCUGCCUGGUAGUGGGGGAUAACGUCCGGAAACGGGCGCUAAUACCGCAUACGUCCUGAGGGAGAAAGUGGGGGAUCUUCGGACCUCACGCUAUCAGCUGAGCCUAGGUCGGAUUAGCUAGUUGGUGGGGUAAAGGCCUACCAAGGCGACGAUCCGUAACUGGUCUGAGAGGAUGAUCAGUCACACUGGAACUGAGACACGGUCCAGACUACUACGGGAGGCAGCAGUGGGGAAUAUUGGACAAUGGGCGGAAGCCUGGUCCAGCCAUGCCGCGUGUGUGGAGAAGGUCUUCGGAUUGUAAAGCACUUUAAGUUGGGAGGAAGGGCAGUAAGUUAAUACCUUGCUGUUUUGACGUUACCAACAGAAUAAGCACCGGCUAACUUCGUG